Molecule: ribosomal RNA, 468 nt
Filed under: uncultured bacterium
Lineage: Bacteria
Description: partial 16S ribosomal RNA
Rfam family: Bacterial small subunit ribosomal RNA
Source: RNAcentral
GACGAACGCUGGCGGCGUGCUUAACACAUGCAAGUUGAACGGAAAGGCCCUGCUUUUGUGGGGUGCUCGAGUGGCGAACGGGUGAGUAACACGUGAGUAACCUGCCCUUGACUUUGGGAUAACUUCAGGAAACUGGGGCUCAUACCGGAUAGGAGCUCCUGCUGCAUGGUGGGGGUUGGAAAGUUUCGGCGGUUGGGGAUGGACUCGCGGCUUAUCAGCUUGUUGGUGGGGUAGUGGCUUACCAAGGCUUUGACGGGUAGCCGGCCUGAGAGGGUGACCGGCCACAUUGGGACUGAGAUACGGCCCAGACUCCUACGGGAGGCAGCAGUGGGGAAUAUUGCACAAUGGGCGGAAGCCUGAUGCAGCAACGCCGCGUGCGGGAUGACGGCCUUCGGGUUGUAAACCGCUUUCGCCUGUGACGAAGCGUGAGUGACGGUAAUGGGUAAAGAAGCACCGGCUAACUACGUG